AACGAACGCUGGCGGCAUGCCUAACACAUGCAAGUCGAACGAGACCUUCGGGUCUAGUGGCGCACGGGUGCGUAACGCGUGGGAACCUGCCCUUAGGUUCGGAAUAACUCCCCGAAAGGGGUGCUAAUACCGGAUAAAGUCUUCGGACCAAAGAUUUAUCGCCUUUGGAUGGGCCCGCGUUGGAUUAGCUAGUUGGUAGGGUAAAAGCCUACCAAGGCGACGAUCCAUAGCUGGUCUGAGAGGAUGAUCAGCCACCCUGGGACUGAGACACGGCCCAGACUCCUACGGGAGGAAGCAGUGGGGAAUAUUGGACAAUGGGCGAAAGCCUGAUCCAGCAAUGCCGCGUGAGUGAUGAAGGCCUUAGGGUUGUAAAGCUCUUUUAACCGGGAUGAUAAUGACAGUACCGGGAGAAUAAGCUCCGGCUAACUCCGUG
This 433-nucleotide ribosomal RNA is filed under the name uncultured bacterium. RNAcentral's name for it is "partial 16S ribosomal RNA". It matches the Rfam family "Bacterial small subunit ribosomal RNA", at positions 29 to 507 of the family's 1533-position model. The record is from RNAcentral.